Molecule: small RNA, 123 nt
Filed under: Marmota monax (woodchuck)
Lineage: Eukaryota; Metazoa; Chordata; Mammalia; Rodentia; Sciuridae
Source: RNAcentral
GCUGGGCUUGGUGGCAUAUGCCUGUAAUCCCAGCUACUUGGAGGCUGAGACAGGAAGAUCAGGAAGUUGAGAAAGGAGGAUCACAAAUUCCAGGCCAGCAUGGGCAAUUUAACCCUGUCUCAA